Non-coding RNA from Myodes glareolus (Bank vole), 782 nucleotides. Lineage: Eukaryota; Metazoa; Chordata; Mammalia; Rodentia; Cricetidae. The record is from RefSeq and is a predicted model, not a curated record.
AUCAAUCUGCUGAAUGGAUGGACUUGUGAAACUGGGGGGCAGAACCGGGUUUGGUGCCAGCCUUGUACAGGUCUUUUCUAUUAUUUUUGUUGUUUUUUGUUUUGUUAUUUGCAGAUUUGUGGGGACACCUUGGGGUGGUUCUAUAGCUGUGUCCUGAAAGGUCAUGUUUUCUCGGUCUCCAUCUCUGUUUUGGCUCAAGACAGUGUGCAUCUCAGGAGGAUCAAUCCAGAUGGAGGCUACAGUGUGCUUGGCAUCCACUCAAGCUAAGACUUUCUCCUAGCCCUAGUUAAAGGAAACCCACAUGCCCCUCAACAAUACCAGGCCCUAAAAGGGGACCCCUAAUAUUCCAGAAUUGGAAUAUUCCCCAAAACAAGAGGAGGGAAUGAAGAAAACAUGGUUUUGCAAACUAGAGAACUAGUGAUCCCACCCUGCCUGUUGACUAGAACAACAGGUGAUUUCCAACAGCCUGCAGGUGCUUCCCUGUCCUUCAACCCAGGCCUUUGACAUAAUCAAUCAUGGUAAAUGCCCUUAAAAUGAGCCAAUCCCUGCUUUUGACAAACAACCCCCUCCUUGAAAAUGUGGUUUUUGCCUUUAAAAGCAGCCUGUGCUAGUGGGGCUGAGAAUAAAAUUCCUCUUGCUUUUGCAUCAACUGGACUGCUUUCUGUAAACUGUCAGUGCCCUUGUAAGUGUUUCUCUUCUUGAAACUUCUGGGAACUCUUGGAAUGUAAAGACCUCAAUAAGGAAACCUGGUCCAACAGCCUUUGUGGCCUCCAUGAGGCAGA